This is a long non-coding RNA of Myxocyprinus asiaticus (Chinese sucker), 925 nucleotides long. RefSeq lists it as uncharacterized. The record is from RefSeq and is a predicted model, not a curated record. The transcript is spliced from 3 exons. NCBI's taxonomy places the organism in Eukaryota, Metazoa, Chordata, Actinopteri, Cypriniformes, Catostomidae.
CUUUGAGAUAUUUAAAUAAAAUGUUGAACACUCUUACAGUUGUAUCUUUGUUUAACAAAUUCUGCAGUGAAAGCUGAUUAACUCCUAUAUCUCUAAGUGCUUCUAUAAGUUGUAGUCUUUCAUUGUCAUAACCUUUACACUGUUUCAGGAAGAUCACAUCUGACACAACAUCUGGAUACAUGUUUUCCAGUCAUAUGUAGUGACUGGUUAAGAGCAGAAUGCCCAAUUCUGAGACGUGAUAUUAUACUGUCUUCCUUUCUAUUCCCAAAACUUCUCUCGUUCCCAACUAUUCUCUGAAUAUUAUAUAGAUGUCGUCCUUUAUUCUCACUGUCCCAUUUUCUUUGCCACAUAUCCUAUACAGCUCCUUUAAUUAGCCCUUUUAUUUCCAAUUUACCAAUUGGAACAUUCAACUCUAUGUCUGAGUGUUUUAAUGCUUGUUUUGCUAUUUGAUCCACCACUUCAUUUCCUUCUACCCCUAUAUGAGCGGGUACCCAUACAAAUGAGAUAACUAUUCUUGUUUGAUGUAUUCUGAACAAAUUUUGUAAAAUAUAUGAUAAAACGUCUUGCCAAUUGAUGAUUUUCCACUCUUUAGACUUAGUAAUGCUGCAAAAGAGUCCGAACAGAUGACCACUUCAGAAGUUGAAAGUCAACUACAGGCAUUGGGAAUAGCCAUGGGGGUGUUGCUGGCAAUACUACAUAGCCCAAUAUACCAACUUCAGUUUUAACCUCCGAAACUCCAACUCCAACAACCCAUUUCAACCUGUAGACUGACACAGGUGAUGUUUUAAAUGCUCCACAGCAUAUUCUUAAUGCUUGAUUUUGUAUUAUAUUUACUUUAUCAAGCAGAGAUGCUGAGGCUGUACCAUAAAUCACACUGUAAAACAACUUCCGCGAGAUUUUGUGAAUAAACUAAUCAAAAUAAAAG